CCUACGGGUGGCAGCAGUGAGGAAUAUUGGUCAAUGGACGAGAGUCUGAACCAGCCAAGUAGCGUGAAGGAUGACUGCCCUAUGGGUUGUAAACUUCUUUUAUAUGGGAAUAAAAUGUUCCACGUGUGGGAUUUUGUAUGUACCAUAUGAAUAAGGAUCGGCUAACUCCGUGCCAGCAGCAGCGGUAAUACGGAGGAUCCGAGGGUUAUCCGGAUUUAUUGGGUUUAAAGGGAGAGUAGGUGGAUUGUUAAGUCAGUUGUGAAAGUUUGCGGCUCAACCGUAAAAUUGCAGUUGAAACUGGCAGUCUUGAGUACAGUAGAGGUGGGCGGAAUUCGUGGUGUAGCGGUGAAAUGCUUAGAUAUCACGAAGAACUCCGAUUGCGAAGGCAGUUCACUGGACUGCAACUGACACUGAGGCUCGAAAGUGUGGGUAUCAAACAGGAUUAGAUACCCUGGUAGUC
Molecule: ribosomal RNA, 460 nt
Filed under: uncultured bacterium
Lineage: Bacteria
Description: partial 16S ribosomal RNA
Rfam family: Bacterial small subunit ribosomal RNA
Source: RNAcentral